GGCGAACGCUGGCGGCGUGCUUAACACAUGCAAGUCGAACGGACAGGCCCUGCUUUUGUGGGGUGCUCGAGUGGCGAACGGGUGAGUAAAACGUGAGUAACCUGCCCUUGACUUUGGGAUAACUUCAGGAAACUGGGGCUCAUACCGGAUAGGAGCUCCUGCUGCAUGGUGGGGGUUGGAAAGUUGCGGCGGUUGGGGAUGGACUCGCAGCUUCUCAGCUUGUUGGUGGGGUAGUGGCUUACCAAGGCUGUGACGGGUAGCCGGCCUGAGAGGGUGACCGGCCACAUUGGGACUGAGAGACGGCCCAGACUCCUACGGGAGGCAGCAGGGGGGAAUAUUGCACAAUGGGCGGAAGCCUGAUGCAGCAACGCCGCGUGCGGGAUGACGGCCUUCGGGGUGUAAACCGCUGUCGCCUGUGACGAAGCGUGAGUGACGGUAAUGGGUAAAGAAGCACCGGCUAACUACGUG
Molecule: ribosomal RNA, 468 nt
Filed under: uncultured bacterium
Lineage: Bacteria
Description: partial 16S ribosomal RNA
Rfam family: Bacterial small subunit ribosomal RNA
Source: RNAcentral